AAUGUAAAAAACAUCUCGUAGCGGUUUCAGCAGCAGUCGUUGAAAAAUAGAUGAAUUAGAGACGUUAUUCAAAACUGGGGAAACCGGUAAAGCGAUACUUUUAUUGCUUUAUUCAGGCUUAAUCAUGUAGCCUCUACUGUAAACGACAUCUCUUAGCAGUUGGAGUGAAAGUUUUAGAGUAUUCAAUGCUAUAUAGAGACGUUAUUCAAAACAUGGGAAUGCGGUUAUCAUAAAGCGUGUAAUCUAAACAACAUCUCGUAGCGGUUUCAGCAGCAGUSGUUGAAUMAUAACUGAAUUAGAGACGUUAUUCCAAACUGGGGAAAGUGGUAACGUGAAACUUUUAUUGCUUUAUUCAUAGCUCAUAAUACAGCUUGUGCUCUGGACACUUCUUCGUAGCAGUAGGGUCGACAGUCGUGUGAAACAGAAGUGAAUUAGAGACGUUAUUCAAAAGUGGGGAAAGUGGUUAUCAUAAAGCGUGUAAUCUAAACAACAUCUCGUAGCGGUUUCAGCAGCAGUCGCUGAAUAAUAACUGAAUUAGAGACGUUAUUCCAAACUGGGGAAUGCGAUAGUACUCUACACACUGGAUAAUGACAGAAGACUAAUGAAAGACUUUGUUUGGUAUUGAUGUUUAUAUCAUUUAUAGCAUAAGCCUACCCAAACACUCACCCUAACCCUAACCCUUGCUGUAUUAUUGAUGAAAUAAAUUUCAUUGACAUUGACAUUCACAUGGUAUAUUGUGUUAUUGAUAUAACUGAUAUAGCAUAAGCUUACCCAGACACUCACCCUAAACCUAACCCUUGUUGUGUGGAUGAAAAAAAUAAUUGACAUUCACAUUCACAUUCACAUUCACAUUCACAUUCACAUGGUAUUGUAUUGUAUAUUCACAUUCAUCUAACAUUGCAUGAUGCAGAUCCAAACCCUUAUCCUUAUCCUAAGUGAUGAAAUAAAUAUCAUUCACAUGGUAUAUUGUGUUAUUGAGAUUGAUAUAGCAUAAGCCCACCCAUACACUAACCCUAACCCCUAACCCUUGCUGUAUUAUUGAUGAAAUAAAAAUCRUUGGCAUUCAUUCACAUGGUAUAUUGUGGUUAUUGACAUUGAACUGAUAUAGCAUAAAGCCUAGAACCACUAUUGUUGUAUAUACAUGUUGUAUUUUAUUUUAGAUUCACAUGGAUCUCAUAUGUCAUAUAGAUAGUACUCCAUACACUGGAUCAUGACUGAAUAGCAAUGGAAGACUUUGUUUAUUUUUAUUAUCAUUUUCAUUAUUAUGAAUAUUAUUAUUGUUAUAAAUAUUAUUGUUGUUGUUGUUGUUGUUGUUGUUCUUGUUAUACAAGAUGCCAAAUCCAAUCCCUCAUCCCUGUUGUAUGGAUGGAAUAAAUAUCAACUCACAUGGUAUUGUGUUUUAUCUUAUAUUCACAGUGAUCACAUAGUAUUUCAGCUUUCGAUACUAGAUGUAAAUAGGAAUUCAACAUUCAUUAAAGUAUAAAAUGGAAUGGGACUGMUAUUCAUAGCAUGUGGGACUACGCCAUGGCAGACCGGUUAGGGUGAGGGUGAAGGAUGGGGUCAGGUUUUAGUUUUUAUGAUAGAGCUGAAAGCCUUUUGAAAACAAUAAUCACUUAUGCAGGGAAUAAGUCUAUGCUAGGAUGAUGUAACGAAAUAAAUCAAAGUACUGUGUGGCAAAGUUCAUCAUCCACACACAAUAAAUACAAUCACAAAUUAGAAUUCCCAAGAUGAAAUAAAAUAAUGUUUGCUUUGAUUAUAUAUAUAUAUA
Molecule: long non-coding RNA, 1768 nt
Organism: Actinia tenebrosa (Australian red waratah sea anemone)
Lineage: Eukaryota; Metazoa; Cnidaria; Anthozoa; Actiniaria; Actiniidae
Source: RefSeq, a predicted model, not a curated record